RNAcentral lists this transfer RNA (141 nucleotides) under Nicotiana glauca (tree tobacco). RNAcentral's name for it is "partial transfer RNA-Phe(GAA)". Lineage: Eukaryota; Viridiplantae; Streptophyta; Magnoliopsida; Solanales; Solanaceae. The record is from RNAcentral.
AAUAUCAUUACUCAUACUGAAACUUACAAAGUCAUCUUUUUGAAGAUCGAAGAAAUUCCCCGGCUUUGAUAAAAUUUUUAAUCUACUUUUGUCCUUGUAAUUGACAUAGACCCCAGUUCUCUAAUAAAAUGAGGAUACUCC